This 333-nucleotide ribosomal RNA is filed under the name Trachemys scripta (pond slider). RNAcentral's name for it is "partial 12S ribosomal RNA". It matches the Rfam family "Bacterial small subunit ribosomal RNA", at positions 855 to 1345 of the family's 1533-position model. Lineage: Eukaryota; Metazoa; Chordata; Testudines; Emydidae. The record is from RNAcentral.
AUAUACAAAAAUAUCCGCCAGAGAAUUACGAGCAAAACGCUUAAAACUCUAAGGACUUGGCGGUGCCUCAAACCCACCUAGAGGAGCCUGUUCUAUAAUCGAUAACCCACGAUCUACCUCACCAUCUCUUGCCAACCAGCCUAUAUACCACCGUCGCCAGCUUACCCCGUGAGGAUACAAAAGUAAGCAAGAUAAUAUAAACCAUUAACAAGUCAGGUCAAGGUGUAGCUAACUGAGAUGGAAGAAAUGGGCUACAUUUUCUAUACUAGAAAUAACAACUCACGGAAAGGAAACAUGAAACUAGUCCAGCAAGUAGGAUUUAGCAGUAAACUG